AUUGAACGCUGGCGGCAGGCUUAACACAUGCAAGUCGAACGAGUGGCGGACGGGUGAGUAAUGCUUGGGAAUCUAGCUUAUGGCGGGGGAUAACUAUGGGAAACUGUAGCUAAUACCGCGUACCAUAGUAUGUGCCCAAGUGGGAUUAGGUAGUUGGUGUGGUAAAGGCUCACCAAGCCGACGAUCCCUAGCUGGUCUGAGAGGAUGACCAGCCAAACUGGGACUGAGACACGGCCCAGACUCCUACGGGAGGAAGCAGUGGGGAAUAUUGGGCAAUGGGGGAAACCUGACCCAGCCAUGCCGCGUGAAUGAAGAAGGCCUUCGGGUUGUAAAGUUCUUUUGGCAGAGAAGCGGUAACUACAGAAUAAGCACCGGCUAACUCCGUGCCAGCCGCCGCGGUAAUUC
Molecule: ribosomal RNA, 405 nt
Filed under: uncultured bacterium
Lineage: Bacteria
Description: partial 16S ribosomal RNA
Rfam family: Bacterial small subunit ribosomal RNA
Source: RNAcentral